GAUGAACGCUGGCGGCGUGCCUAAUACAUGCAAGUCGAGCGAACGGACGAGAAGCUUGCUUCUCUGAUGUUAGCGGCGGACGGGUGAGUAACACGUGGAUCACCUACCUAUCAUACUGGGAUAACUUCGGGAAACCGGCGCUAACACCGGAUAAUAUUUUGAACCGCAUGGUUCAAAAGUGAAAGACGGUCUUGCUGUAUCUACUAGAUGGAUCCGAGCUGCAUUAGCUAGUUGGUAAGGUAACGGCUUACCAAGGCAACGCUGCAUAGCCGACCUGAUAGGGUGAUCGGCCACACUGGAACUGAGACACGGUCCAGACGCCUACGGGAGGCAGCAGUAGGGAAUCUUCCGCAAUGGGCGAAAGCCUGACGGAGCGACGCCGCGUGAGUGAUGAAGGUCUUCGGAUCGUAAAACUCUGUUAUUAGGGAAGAACAUAUGUGUAAGUAACUGUGCACAUCGUGACGGUACCUAGUCAGAAAGCCACGGCUAACUACGUG
RNAcentral lists this ribosomal RNA (497 nucleotides) under uncultured bacterium. RNAcentral describes it as "partial 16S ribosomal RNA". It matches the Rfam family "Bacterial small subunit ribosomal RNA", at positions 28 to 507 of the family's 1533-position model. The record is from RNAcentral.